GACGAACGCUGGCGGCGUGCUUAACACAUGCAAGUCGAACGGUGAAGCUCCAGCUUGCUGGAGUGGAUCAGUGGCGAACGGGUGAGUAACACGUGAGCAACCUGCCCCUGACUCUGGAAUAAGCGCUGGAAACGGCGUCUAAUACUGGAUACGAGAAGGGUCCGCAUGGGCACUUUCUGGAAAGUUUUUCGGUUGGGGAUGGACUCGCGGCCUAUCAGCUUGUUGGUGAGGUAAUGGCUCACCAAGGCGACGACGGGUAGCCGGCCUGAGAGGGCGACCGGCCACACUGGGACUGAGACACGGCCCAGACUCCUACGGGAGGCAGCAGUGGGGAAUAUUGCACAAUGGGCGAAAGCCUGAUGCAGCGACGCCGCGUGAGGGAUGACGGCCUUCGGGUUGUAAACCUCUUUCAGCAGGGAAGAAGCGAAAGUGACGGUACCUGCAGAAGAAGCACCGGCUAACUACGUG
Molecule: ribosomal RNA, 468 nt
Filed under: uncultured bacterium
Lineage: Bacteria
Description: partial 16S ribosomal RNA
Rfam family: Bacterial small subunit ribosomal RNA
Source: RNAcentral